Ipomoea nil (Japanese morning glory) is the source of this 872-nucleotide long non-coding RNA. RefSeq lists it as uncharacterized. The transcript has 4 exons. NCBI's taxonomy places the organism in Eukaryota, Viridiplantae, Streptophyta, Magnoliopsida, Solanales, Convolvulaceae. The record is from RefSeq and is a predicted model, not a curated record.
CUCCUCAGUCUAUCUUCUUUCUCUCUGGAGACUUCUCAUCUGCUCUCAGAUCUGAGAUGACAUCUCAUUAUUUCCUCCCUCACUCUCUCCGUUUCUCACCCCUCCUCCGGUCUCCGUCGCUCAGAGCCAGGCUCCGCCUCUCAUCUUUCACACCCUCUCUGCGUCUCCUUUAGACUACGACUCGUACUGGUCCAGAUCUCUCGAGUCUGGCCUUUGGGGCUGAGCACAACGUAGAUAUUCGAAGAUGGGCUUAUACUCCUCCACUUCUCCGGUGACCGGCGGUCGGCUACUCUCCUUCGAGGCAAAGGCCAAAGCCGUUAACACUCCAGCUCUCUACAGAUCCGGGAGAUCUCCAUUGAAGUUUCGAGUUUGUAGACUUCUCCAGUAACUGUCUUUGGCCAUGAAAUUAUAAUAUGAGAAAAAGAGUUCCAAUCAACAAGUUGUGACUCUUCAAUUCUAGAGACUAUUGUCCAGACUUGCAUUAUAUGUGAAUAUAGUCAAAGAGCAACUGCAGCCCUAUGGUUGUGGUUUUGGGAUACUCGCUCUCGCUUCAUGUCCGUGUAUCCAAUUCAAUGUUCCGAUGCAGAAAGAAAGGCAAGAUUCAUGGGGUUCUAAUUAGCAGACAAAUGAGAAGCAGUAUACUAGCCAGAUCUCUGGAUCAAUAUUUGCUUAGAGGAGCUAACUAAAUUCAACACAGAACACUAGCUUUUCCCUCAAUCUUAUUUCACUAUGCUUUGUUUAGUUUGAUUUUUUUUGUAAUUGUAAAUUUGUAAUUAACUAGUAGGUAUUUUGCCCUUUUGGGUUGUGUAAAAUAUUGUAUUUAUAGUUCUGCAUAUUUUAUUUUUUAGAUUGGUUUUAAAAUUUUGUAUUUA